RNAcentral lists this ribosomal RNA (872 nucleotides) under Staphylococcus aureus. RNAcentral describes it as "partial 23S ribosomal RNA". It matches the Rfam family "Bacterial large subunit ribosomal RNA", at positions 1290 to 2158 of the family's 2925-position model. The record is from RNAcentral. Lineage: Bacteria; Bacillati; Bacillota; Bacilli; Caryophanales; Staphylococcaceae.
GAGAAUGCCGGUGUGAGUAGCGAAAGACGGGUGAGAAUCCCGUCCACCGAUUGACUAAGGUUUCCAGAGGAAGGCUCGUCCGCUCUGGGUUAGUCGGGUCCUAAGCUGAGGCCGACAGGCGUAGGCGAUGGAUAACAGGUUGAUAUUCCUGUACCACCUAUAAUCGUUUUAAUCGAUGGGGGGACGCAGUAGGAUAGGCGAAGCGUGCGAUUGGAUUGCACGUCUAAGCAGUAAGGCUGAGUAUUAGGCAAAUCCGGUACUCGUUAAGGCUGAGCUGUGAUGGGGAGAAGACAUUGUGUCUUCGAGUCGUUGAUUUCACACUGCCGAGAAAAGCCUCUAGAUAGAAAAUAGGUGCCCGUACCGCAAACCGACACAGGUAGUCAAGAUGAGAAUUCUAAGGUGAGCGAGCGAACUCUCGUUAAGGAACUCGGCAAAAUGACCCCGUAACUUCGGGAGAAGGGGUGCUCUUUAGGGUUAACGCCCAGAAGAGCCGCAGUGAAUAGGCCCAAGCGACUGUUUAUCAAAAACACAGGUCUCUGCUAAACCGUAAGGUGAUGUAUAGGGGCUGACGCCUGCCCGGUGCUGGAAGGUUAAGAGGAGUGGUUAGCUUCUGCGAAGCUACGAAUCGAAGCCCCAGUAAACGGCGGCCGUAACUAUAACGGUCCUAAGGUAGCGAAAUUCCUUGUCGGGUAAGUUCCGACCCGCACGAAAGGCGUAACGAUUUGGGCACUGUCUCAACGAGAGACUCGGUGAAAUCAUAGUACCUGUGAAGAUGCAGGUUACCCGCGACAGGACGGAAAGACCCCGUGGAGCUUUACUGUAGCCUGAUAUUGAAAUUCGGCACAGCUUGUACAGGAUAGGUAGGAGCCUUU